RNAcentral lists this ribosomal RNA (255 nucleotides) under uncultured bacterium. RNAcentral's name for it is "partial 16S ribosomal RNA". It matches the Rfam family "Bacterial small subunit ribosomal RNA", at positions 793 to 1055 of the family's 1533-position model. The record is from RNAcentral.
GUCCACGCCGUAAACGAUGGAUACUAGCUGUUGGGCGCAAGUUCAGUGGCUAAGCGAAAGUGAUAAGUAUCCCACCUGGGGAGUACGUUCGCAAGAAUGAAACUCAAAGGAAUUGACGGGGGCCCGCACAAGCGGUGGAGCAUGUGGUUUAAUUCGAUGAUACGCGAGGAACCUUACCAAGGCUUAAAUGUAGAUUGACAGGACUGGAAACAGUUUUUUCUUAGGACAAUUUACAAGGUGCUGCAUGGUUGUCGU